UCUCUCCUCCUCCUCACCUCCAUAAUUUCCAGUCACACCAAACUCUCUCUCUCUCUCUCUCUCUCUCUCUGUUUUGUGGGUAUGGAAGAAGAACCUCAGCCUGUUCAGACCAACGGCCAGGGAGGAGGCGGGGACGAGUUCUACGAGGAGAUCGAGGCCCCCAAGUUCGUAGACUUCACCACACCGGAUCACUUCUGUCCCGACGACCGUUAUUGGUUCUGCAUGCGCGUCGGGUGUGAUCAAAAGCAUUAAGAAGAAAUAGACACUGAAGCAAUAUACAAGAACUUUGUUCUUAGGUUAUGGCAGCAAGAAGUCCGAAUGUUAGACUUCGAAAAGCACCGAACAGAAAGUCGCCAAGUUUGAAAUGCCCACUUACAGCUCCUGCAAAAUCUUCAAAGCCUAGAGUUUCAAGGUUGGCCCUGAUUUCUUCAAUCUCUCAUAAGAUAGUUGAUGCCAAAGAUAAGGCCAAACCUUUCCCUUCUAAGAUCACUGCAACAAUCCCAAAUGUUAAAGCAAAGCAACCAUCUACUGUAGCCAAAGCUCUUACUACUCCAAGGAUCAGAAAACCCAUCUCAAAUCCAGAUACAUUUCGAAGUGUUAGGAACCCCAAACCCAAAAAUGUUGCGGUGCCAAAGAAUAAGGUCAUGGCAAAAGCUUUGGUCUUUACAUGUAAAAUUUUAUAUUUACAUGUAACUGAUGGAGAUUUCAAUUGAUACAGACAAGUGAGGGAGGCACAGUUGACAUCCUUGAAACAAGAAAUAAAGAUGGAAUAGCUUUUAAAUCAAUAGCUUCAAUUCCUGGUGGAAAUCAUAGCCGACCUAAGAUCUGAGUUGAAGCAAGCAAGGGUUGAAUUGGAGAGGGUGAAAAGCAACCAAGUGAAGCCUUACAUAGACAAAUCACAAGAGAAUAUGCUUCAUCAUGCUCUCUUUCAGGUCCAGGGAAUGAAACUGCUCUCAACUUCUGGCCUGAAGAACAUUCCAGCAGUGAUUAGAGAUCCGAACCAUAAGUGCUGUAAUCUACUGGAACAAACUUACAAGUUAAGUGCUUCUGCUUUCAACAAAUUGUAUGCCCCUUUCUCUGACUUUGCCUCAAUAGUCACAAUAAGUAAGGAGCCUGAGCAACUCAGAAAUGAUGUAUGCAGAGAUUCCUUCGGGUUGAAAGAGACUUGCUUGAGUACUCGGGGACAGCCAUCAUCCUAUGCAGAGGCAGUGCGCAACUUGAGGCCGGAGGGUUUUCUUAUUUUUGAUUGGUGAGGCUUGCAAGAUAGUGGUUCUGCUGAUGGUUGAGCGGGAGCCAUGGUGAUGAUUUGUGAGAUGGGGUUGAGACUCUUCACUUGAAAUCAGCUAAUGAUUAUGAGCUGGGUAAGUAUGAUGGACAUACUGGUCUGUUGGCAUAUGAACAUGGGGAGUUUGGUAUGGAAAAUGAGCUUUGGUGCCAAUGGCAAGGCUGCUGUAUUCCAAAUUUGCUGUUAUACUCAUUUGCUAUAUUCCUAGGUUGCAGAACUGAUACUCAUUCAUAUGCAGCAUAUCUGCUGUGUUCCAAAUAUGCUGUUAUACAGUCAUACUCAUUCAGCCAUUCUUCAUUUACAUUACAUCAGAUGUUUGUGGUAAAUGCCGGUAAUGGGUUCAAGCUGCUUUGGAACUCAGCAAGUAGAUUUCUUGACCCUAGAACUACUGGAAAGAUACAUGUGUUGUAGGCAACAGAUAAUCGAAACAAGUUGGAAGUUGUACUUAAGGUCGAUCAAUCACCACCUGUUAGAAUAGUUCAAUUUGAAUAGAUAAUAUGAUAUUAAUCAUGUUAAAAACAUAAUAUUGCAACCUAGUGUUGGAACAGUAAACUUCCAGAUUUCCUUGGGCAUCGUGUCCCUGGAAGAACUCUAGUGAAUAACAUUUCUGCCACAAAUAUUGAUACUUAUUAUGAGCUUUUCUUGAUAGGAAACUUGUAUCAUUACUCAUAUAUAUGACU
This is an RNA transcript of Rosa chinensis, 1965 nucleotides long. RefSeq lists it as uncharacterized. The transcript has 5 exons. Lineage: Eukaryota; Viridiplantae; Streptophyta; Magnoliopsida; Rosales; Rosaceae. The record is from RefSeq and is a predicted model, not a curated record.